Molecule: ribosomal RNA, 508 nt
Filed under: uncultured bacterium
Lineage: Bacteria
Description: bacterial SSU rRNA
Rfam family: Bacterial small subunit ribosomal RNA
Source: RNAcentral
UCAGGAUGAACGCUAGCUACAGGCUUAACACAUGCAAGUCGAGGGGCAGCAGGGAAGUAGCUUGCUAUUCCGCUGGCGACCGGCGCACGGGUGAGUAACGCGUAUCCAACCGUGCCCCGUACUCGGGGGACAGCCCUCUGAAAGGAGGAUUAAUACCCGAUAUUGUCGCUGUGGGACAUCCCAUGGUGAUGAAAGAUUCAUCGGUACGGCGAUGGGGAUGCGUAUGAUUAGGACGUAGGCGGGGUAACGGCCCACCUAUCCGACGAUCAUUAGGGGUUCUGAGAGGAAGGUCCCCCACAUAGGAACUGAGACACGGUCCUAACUCCUACGGGAGGCAGCAGUGAGGAAUAUUGGUCAAUGGGCGAGAGCCUGAACCAGCCAAGUAGCGUGAAGGAAUGACUGCCCUAUGGGUUGUAAACUUCUUUUAUAGGGGAAUAAAGUGCUCCACGUGUGGAGUUUUGUAUGUACCCUAUGAAUAAGCAUCGGCUAAUUCCGUGCCAGCCGCUGC